GGUGAGGUUUUGGUGAGAUUGCUACCAACUCUAGCCUAAAUUCAGUAGAGGUGGGCUGCCGGCCAUCUCUAGUCAAGUUUAAUUUUCAACAUUAUGUAGAAAGCAAGAAGACUGAGGAAGACUUCCAUCCUCCAAUGUGGGACAUGGGAAUUAGAAAAUUAAAGUGGGGGACUGAAGAGAGGAGAAGACAAUGAGUAGGAAAUGGUUGGGAGACAUUCAUCCCACAUAAAAAAUGCAAGACAAAUUUGCUAUCCAUAUUUGCUUAUAAAAGCCAUUGCCCCAAAGAACCUACUUGCUCUUCUUAAACCCCCUUGUGGGCUUGCUUGUUAGUUGGCCUUGGCUAGAUUACUUGUUUUAAGCAUUAGAAAUGGGCUUAGUCGGAGUUACAAAAUAUUGAUUGCACAUAAAUAAAAGAAACUGGGUUUGAUUUCAUUAAAAACUAAACCAAACUGUUUAGCUGAAUGUGAAAAAUCAAUGGUGUUGGCUUGGUUCGGUCUCAAUUUGCUACUUUGAAAAAUUGACGUGUUUGGUUCAGUUCUUGGUUUAGCCUAAAAUCAAACAGAGCUAAAUAUAUUAAAUCCCUACAAAAUGAGAAUUCCCAAAUUUGGUCUCAUCUUUCUUUAUUAAACUUAAUGACACUUUAUCCAUCUCUGAAUUCACCAAAUGGCAUACUAUUACAUGUAGUAAACAAGUUUUUACAAAUAUAAUUUUUUUGAUGAAAAAAAUCCUUCUCUACUUUGUAUGAGUUUUCUUCUAGGAAUCAAAAUCUUAGCUGAAGCAACUGCGAGUGGUAUAUAUGAGUUUUCUUUUUUUCCUUUUUUGUUGUUUGCUUUGCAGGGCAGAUAACAAUGCAGAUUUCCUUAAUUCAUACGUCCUUCAUUUUUUCUGCUAGGUUAAAUCGUCUUUCAUUUUUGUGAUAAUAGAAUAAUGUUUUAGAGAAUUAGUGGGGAUCAUGAAUUUGGGAUGUCAAAAGUUUUUGGCAUGUCCCCACAUAAGUGGGUCCCAUGUGGGGUCUUACACAAACCGCAUUCAAACAAUUUGAAAGGAGCCCUGAUUCAUAUGCUACAUCAAUGAUUUAUAUAAGGACAUUCCAUCAUAAUCUCACAGGGUUAGGUUUAAUUUAAUGAGGAGUUUAGGUUCAAUUAUGCACUAUUCAAGAAGUUAAUGUUCAAUUGAGUCUUAAUUGGGGAAGUUGAGUUGCUUGUGACUUGUUUUAAUGGCUCAUGAAAUGAAAGUGACAUGCUAGGAAGACAAGAGCUUGAAGAUGAAAUUCGAGGAUUUUAUUAUUAUGGAUGUGAAGUUCAUAUUUAAGAAGGUGGAGAUGUAAUGCAUGCACAUAGUGAAUGAACCCAUUUUUUCAAUUUUAUUUGUGAAGAAAUGGGAGGAAAAGAGCGAUAAGGGGUAUGGAAUCAAAAGGAAAAUAUGCCCAAUGAGAGAAUACCUCCCAAUAUUUGCCCUUGAACAACCCGUUAAACACCCGUAUCAUUUGAUAAAUCUUAAACUUUAAAUAAUAAUAAAAUGGGAUAAUAUUGGAUUAUAUAAGGAAAUUUAUUUUGAAGGCUCAACUAAGCAUAACCAUUAUUUUCUACAGUACUGAGGUUUCAUUCGGAAAAGACAUAACACAAGGUAACAAACACAUAGAAAUAACAACAUAGCAACAAUAAAAGCAACCAACUGGAGUUUUAGAAGGUAAAACAAGUCCCAUAACAUGAGGGAAAUGUGAGAAACUAUGGUGGGGGAGGUGAUGGGGUAAGAGGAGGGGGAUGGGGGAUGUAACGUAAGGGUGCUAACUCGGAUCUUUGCAAUGGAGGUGGCGACAAAGGCGGAAAAGGCAGCAAUAGACUUUUCACCUCCUCUAAGUCCAGUUUUCCCUGCGUUGCUCUUGCUCCAUCCUUCUCCUUCUCUUCAUUUUCAAUACUUUCCCUUACUAUUUUCUCAACCUUUUCUCCAUAUGUUGAUUCUUUGAGUUGGCGAGCAUUAUUAUAUUGCAGAAGAUGAGUGACUAUGAUUACCAAGCUCACCAUUAUAACCCAUUUAUGGACCAUCCUAUUAUAGCUUUUUGAAUCCAUUUUCAAAAUCCAAAUUGCUAAAUAGAGCUUGAUAAGGGAUUUAUCUU
Molecule: long non-coding RNA, 2116 nt
Organism: Malania oleifera
Lineage: Eukaryota; Viridiplantae; Streptophyta; Magnoliopsida; Santalales; Ximeniaceae
Exons: 2
Source: RefSeq, a predicted model, not a curated record